Danaus plexippus (monarch butterfly) is the source of this 1831-nucleotide long non-coding RNA. RefSeq lists it as uncharacterized. The transcript is spliced from 2 exons. Lineage: Eukaryota; Metazoa; Arthropoda; Insecta; Lepidoptera; Nymphalidae. The record is from RefSeq and is a predicted model, not a curated record.
ACGACUGAGUCUAAUUGAAUGUCGCUGUGUGAUGUUAUGUCGAUACUCCCCGCUCUACUCUCGAGGUGGAUGGACUGCGGGGCUCGCAGGUCGAGUCGCCUCGUCAAUGAUUCCAACCUAACGUAAUAAUAAAUUAAAAAUUUAUCGUGAGACUCCAUUAUUUUACGAAGAUUUGAAUUUGGGAAUGAGAAACACAUAAAGGACGUAUGGGUUCAAACGAAGAGACAGAGAUAGGGUCUUGAGCCGAGGUGACGACCAAAAGUUUAUGGCGACUGACUGUAAGUCUGCAGCCGGCGGUGCUCGUACUACCGGCGUCUGCAGAGCUCCCCUCACUGCCAGCCCGCCCGCUCCACUCACUGACAGAGUCUCCGAGAAGACGCGCACCUCCUCUCGAGACGCGUGGAACACCUCCUCGCCGCGAGCGUCUCGCACGUGGAACGAACGACCACUGCAUUCCAGGCUGUCUCGUUCUAUCGCAAUACAUACAGACAGACACAUUAUCCGUCAUCGACUGUUAUGGACCGACUGUUCAUCAAUAUUAUUAAGAAAACUUUUAGUGACAUUGUACUAACUCAGGAAUAGUUUUGCUGCUUCCUUGUGGUUUUCAUCGGACACUAUGAUAGUGAAAUUGCGGUAUGAGUGCAGGCUGAGCGGUUGACCCGUUUGUGAAGACAGCGUGGACGCGAUCAGAUUGUCAAGGACCCAAGCCUGUCCAUCCAACCGGAUCCCCUCCUUGAUGAUAGUGAUCGGUCCUAUACCUCUCUGGAAACAUUCGGAUGAUUAAUAAACAUUGUUGACGAGCUUUCACUGCACACACAAAACAUCGAAAUGAACUCACCGCGCUCAGUUUCAAGGUACUUAUAAUCCACAAUGUCAAGGCGAUAUUAAGAAAUACGAGUAUGAUGAGGAACACUAUGAUUCCAUAGAGCGCGUUUCGUCUCCAUCCUCGUGUGACGAACGGCGGUAGACAGGCGGGCGGUGUAGUGGUAACGGUGGCGGAGGUGGUCACUGUAGCCGGCGGGGGCUCCCCGGGGGGUGUACAGCCCCAACCCCGGAUACCUUCACUGUUGGCAUCCUCAACCUUCAUUUUGGGUUCGCCUAUUUAAUCUGUCUGAGAUGAUAGAUUGGCUGAAAAUAAAUGGUUUGUUUUGGAUAACAAAAAUUUAUUCAACUAAAAGUAACGAAAGUCUAAUACUAAACUAAUAUUACACUGAGGAACGGUUCUUAUAAAAUUUGUAAAAUAAUUUGACUGAACUUUCGAAAAUAUUGGACAACGAAUACCAAAUAACUCGAAUACUAUUAAUGGAAUAAAACACUACUGCUUUGUUUUCUCGAUGACAAAAGAAAAACAAAAAAGGAACUCUGAAGCAUGGAGAAAUAGUUUUCAGAAUUUUUUAAUAUAUGGAGGCGAUUUAGAAACGUAUUCGGUAUCGAGACAUUGCGAGCAGUUUAUAGAUAUGUGUUGGUUUUAUUUGUAACGGAUUGUACAAAUAGUAAGUUAUGGAAAACCGAUAGGCGAAGCUCAGAGCGGAGCCGCGUUCUGAACGAGAACGUUCGCUGUCGAGGGAUGAGCGGCGAGCGUCGAGGGUCGAGGGUCGAGGGUCGAGAGUCACAACAUUCAUGACAUGUAACUGUAAUAUAUGAACUUUGUUUUGCAAAAUGUUUAACCCAACUUUUAUCUGAAGAAUUUUUAAAACAAUAAUGAAGUGAUUAAUUGGACGUGCAGUCGUUGAUCCAGUGCUGUGCUAUUUGAAGAGUUGAUUCUUAAAUUAAUAUACGAACAUUGUUUUAUCAAUUAAAUUAAUACAAAAAUUAUACUAUUCUUACUGUG